GACUGAAACUCAAAGGAAUUUGACGGGGGCCCGCACAAGCGGUGGAGCAUGUGGUUUAAUUCGAUGCAACGCGAAGAACCUUACCAAGGCUUGACAUGUCGAGAACUCUGGUGAAAGCCGGAGGUGCCGCAAGGAGCUCGAACACAGGUGGUGCAUGGCUGUCGUCAGCUCGUGUCGUGAGAUGCUUGGGUUAAGUCCCGCAACGAGCGCAACCCUCGAUGUUAGUUGCUAGCAGGUAAAGCUGAGCACUCUAGCGUGACUGCCGGUGACAAACCGGAGGAAGGUGGGGAUGACGUCAAGUCAUCAUGCCCCUUAUGCCUUGGGCUACACACGUGCUACAAUGGCCGGGACAAUAGGAAGCAAUACCGCGAGGUGGAGCAAAUCCCAAAACCCGGUCUCAGUUCAGAUUGCAGGCUGCAACUCGCCUGCAUGAAGGCGGAAUCGCUAGUAACCGCAGGUCUGCAUACUGCGGUGAAUACGUUCCCGGGCNUUGUACACACCGCCCGUCACACCACGAAAGUUUGUCAUGCCCGAAGCCGGUGAGCCAACCGCAAGGAAGCAGCCGUUAAGGUGGGGCAGAUGAUUGGGGUGAAGUCGUAACAAGGUAGCCGUACCGGAAGGUGCGGCUGGAUCACCUCACUUU
This 643-nucleotide ribosomal RNA is filed under the name uncultured bacterium. RNAcentral's name for it is "bacterial SSU rRNA". It matches the Rfam family "Bacterial small subunit ribosomal RNA", at positions 892 to 1533 of the family's 1533-position model. The record is from RNAcentral.